CUACUAGGGUAUCUAAUCCUGUUUGCUCCCCACGCUUUCGCUCCUCAGCGUCAGAACAGGCCCAGAGAACCGCCUUCGCCACCGGUGUUCCUCCUGAUAUCUGCGCAUUUCACCGCUACACCAGGAAUUCCGUUCUCCCCCGCCUGCCUCUAGCCAGCCCGUAUCCACUGCACGCCCGGGGUUAAGCCCCGGGAUUUCACAGCGGACGCAACUGGCCGCCUACGAGCUCUUUACGCCCAAUAAUUCCGGACAACGCUCGCGCCCUACGUAUUACCGCGGCUGCUGGCAC
Molecule: ribosomal RNA, 289 nt
Filed under: uncultured Actinomycetales bacterium
Lineage: Bacteria; Bacillati; Actinomycetota; Actinomycetes; Actinomycetales
Description: partial 16S ribosomal RNA
Source: RNAcentral